UGUAUUUGACAAGCUGAAUUC
RNAcentral lists this microRNA (21 nucleotides) under Callorhinchus milii (elephant shark). Its description in RNAcentral is "eshark_mir-223_1". Lineage: Eukaryota; Metazoa; Chordata; Chondrichthyes; Chimaeriformes; Callorhinchidae. The record is from RNAcentral.